UACUACAAAAAUCUAUCGUUAAGAGUUGAGGAAAUCUAUCCUGAAAGAGCUUAAGAUAUUUGGAAAGCAGAAGCAGCUGGAUAUUGAACUGCGAAGGAGCAGCACCCCAGGCAGCCCACGCUCCGCGCCCCCGGGCGGCUCCGGCUCUCGCAGCGCUGCCGACGAAGAACCGGGGAGACCGACAGCAAGCGACCGGGGGAAAUAACUAUUCAACGUGUUACAAACAAACAUAUUCCACCUGUUACAACAAUCUGGCAUAUUACUUCCUUGAUACGUGAUGAUACAAUACCUCUCAGGUUUGCUGAGUAGCAAAGAGAAAUCUGAAGAUAUUUCACUGCAACAAGAGAAGACUGUUGCUACAGAAGAAUUUAG
This is a long non-coding RNA of Catharus ustulatus (Swainson's thrush), 372 nucleotides long. RefSeq lists it as uncharacterized. The transcript is spliced from 3 exons. The record is from RefSeq and is a predicted model, not a curated record. Lineage: Eukaryota; Metazoa; Chordata; Aves; Passeriformes; Turdidae.